GAUGAACGCUGGCGGCGUGCCUAAUACAUGCAAGUCGAGCGAACGGACGAGAAGCUUGCUUCUCUGAUGUUAGCGGCGGACGGGUGAGUAACACGUGGAUAACCUACCUAUAAGACUGGGAUAACUUCGGGAAACCGGAGCUAAUACCGGAUAGUAUUUUGAACCGCAUGGUUCAAAAGUGAAAGACGGUCUUGCUGUCACUUAUAGAUGGAUCCGCGCUGCAUUAGCUAGUUGGUAAGGUAACGGCUUACCAAGGCAACGAUGCAUAGCCGACCUGAGAGGGUGAUCGGCCACACGGGAACUGAGGCACGGUCCAGACUCCUACGGGAGGCAGCAGUAGGGAAUCUUCCGCAAUGGGCGAAAGCCUGACGGAGCAACGCCGCGUGAGUGAUGAAGGUCUUCGGAUCGUAAAACUCUGUUAUUAGGGAAGAACAUAUGUGUAAGUAACUGUGCACAUCUUGACGGUACCUAAUCAGAAAGCCACGGCUAACUACGUG
This 497-nucleotide ribosomal RNA is filed under the name uncultured bacterium. Its description in RNAcentral is "partial 16S ribosomal RNA". It matches the Rfam family "Bacterial small subunit ribosomal RNA", at positions 28 to 507 of the family's 1533-position model. The record is from RNAcentral.